GACGAACGCUGGCAGCGUGCUUAACACAUGCAAGUCGAACGGAAAGGCCUGCUUUCCCUUGUGGAUUGCGGGUACUCGAGUGGCGAACGGGUGAGUAACACGUGAGUGAUCUGCCCCCAACUUGGGUAUAAGCCUGGGAAACUGGGUCUAAUUCCCGAUAGGCCUGCAGGGUGGUGCCUGUGGUGGAAAACGAUUUUCUAGUGGUUGGGGGUGAGCUCGCGGCCUAUCAGCUUGUUGGUGGGGUAAUGGCCUACCAAGGCGGCGACGGGUAGCCGGCCUGGGAGGGUGGACGGCCACAUUGGGACUGAGAUACGGCCCAGACUCCUACGGGAGGCAGCAGUGGGGAAUAUUGCACAAUGGGCGGAAGCCUGAUGCAGCGACGCCGCGGGGGGGAUGACGGCCUUCGGGUUGUAAACUCCUUUCGACCGCGAGGAAGCCACCUGGUUGGAAGGGUGGUGACGGUAGUGGUAGAAGAAGCACCGGCUAACUACGUG
RNAcentral lists this ribosomal RNA (494 nucleotides) under uncultured bacterium. RNAcentral's name for it is "partial 16S ribosomal RNA". It matches the Rfam family "Bacterial small subunit ribosomal RNA", at positions 28 to 507 of the family's 1533-position model. The record is from RNAcentral.